CUACGGGCGGCUCCAGUAGGGAAUCUUAGACAAUGGGGGAAACCCUGAUCUAGCCACGCCGCGUGAGUGAUGAAGGCCUUAGGGUUGUAAAGCUCUUUCGCUGGGGAAGAUAAUGACGGUACCCAGUAACGAAACCCCGGCUAACUCCGUGCCAGCAGCCGCGGUAAUACGGAGGGGGUUAGCGUUGUUCGGAAUUACUGGGCGUAAAGCGCGCGUAGGCGGGCUAUUAAGUCAGGGGUGAAAUCCCGGGGCUCAACCCCGGAACUGCCUUUGAUACUGGUAGUCUUGAGUUCGAGAGAGGUGAGUGGAAUUCCGAGUGUAGAGGUGAAAUUCGUAGAUAUUCGGAGGAACAUCAGUGGCGAAGGCGACUCACUGGCUCGAUACUGACGCUGAGGUGCGAAAGUGUGGGGAGCAAACAGGAUUAGAUACCCUUGUAGUC
RNAcentral lists this ribosomal RNA (439 nucleotides) under uncultured bacterium. RNAcentral describes it as "partial 16S ribosomal RNA". It matches the Rfam family "Bacterial small subunit ribosomal RNA", at positions 339 to 795 of the family's 1533-position model. The record is from RNAcentral.